CUCUUAUGAAGAGCGGUGGAGGGACUGGCCCUAUGAAGCCCGGCAACCAUUUAACAAACUGUUAAAAAGGUGCUAAUUCCUGCAAAGCGUCAUGCUUUGACAAAUAAGAG
This 110-nucleotide non-coding RNA is filed under the name Bacillus sp. (in: firmicutes). Its description in RNAcentral is "Bacillus sp. SAM-I sequence". It matches the Rfam family "SAM riboswitch aptamer (S box leader)". From Rfam's summary of the family: The SAM riboswitch is found upstream of a number of genes which code for proteins involved in methionine or cysteine biosynthesis in Gram-positive bacteria. RNAcentral also lists the same sequence under 1 other name. Lineage: Bacteria; Bacillati; Bacillota; Bacilli; Caryophanales; Bacillaceae. The record is from RNAcentral.